This 1439-nucleotide ribosomal RNA is filed under the name uncultured organism. Its description in RNAcentral is "16S ribosomal RNA". It matches the Rfam family "Bacterial small subunit ribosomal RNA". The record is from RNAcentral.
CAGGCUUAACACAUGCAAGUCGAGGGGCAGCAUUUUAGUUUGCUUGCAAACUGAAGAUGGCGACCGGCGCACGGGUGAGUAACACGUAUCCAACCUGCCGAUAACUCCGGAAUAGCCUUUCGAAAGAAAGAUUAAUACCGGAUAGCAUACGAAUAUCGCAUGAUAUUUUUAUUAAAGAAUUUCGGUUAUCGAUGGGGAUGCGUUCCAUUAGUUUGUUGGCGGGGUAACGGCCCACCAAGACUACGAUGGAUAGGGGUUCUGAGAGGAAGGUCCCCCACAUUGGAACUGAGACACGGUCCAAACUCCUACGGGAGGCAGCAGUGAGGAAUAUUGGUCAAUGGGCGAGAGCCUGAACCAGCCAAGUAGCGUGAAGGAUGAAGGCUCUAUGGGUCGUAAACUUCUUUUAUAUGGGAAUAAAGUUUUCCACGUGUGGAAUUUUGUAUGUACCAUAUGAAUAAGGAUCGGCUAACUCCGUGCCAGCAGCCGCGGUAAUACGGAGGAUCCGAGCGUUAUCCGGAUUUAUUGGGUUUAAAGGGAGCGUAGGUGGAUUGUUAAGUCAGUUGUGAAAGUUUGCGGCUCAACCGUAAAAUUGCAGUUGAAACUGGCAGUCUUGAGUACAGUAGAGGUGGGCGGAAUUCGUGGUGUAGCGGUGAAAUGCUUAGAUAUCACGAAGAACUCCGAUUGCGAAGGCAGCUCACUAGACUGUCACUGACACUGAUGCUCGAAAGUGUGGGUAUCAAACAGGAUUAGAUACCCUGGUAGUCCACACAGUAAACGAUGAAUACUCGCUGUUUGCGAUAUACAGUAAGCGGCCAAGCGAAAGCAUUAAGUAUUCCACCUGGGGAGUACGCCGGCAACGGUGAAACUCAAAGGAAUUGACGGGGGCCCGCACAAGCGGAGGAACAUGUGGUUUAAUUCGAUGAUACGCGAGGAACCUUACCCGGGCUUAAAUUGCAACAGAAUAUAUUGGAAACAGUAUAGCCGUAAGGCUGUUGUGAAGGUGCUGCAUGGUUGUCGUCAGCUCGUGCCGUGAGGUGUCGGCUUAAGUGCCAUAACGAGCGCAACCCUUAUCUUUAGUUACUAACAGGUUAUGCUGAGGACUCUAGAGAGACUGCCGUCGUAAGAUGUGAGGAAGGUGGGGAUGACGUCAAAUCAGCACGGCCCUUACGUCCGGGGCUACACACGUGUUACAAUGGGGGGUACAGAAGGCGGCUACCUGGUGACAGGAUGCUAAUCCCAAAAACCUCUCUCAGUUCGGAUCGAAGUCUGCAACCCGACUUCGUGAAGCUGGAUUCGCUAGUAAUCGCGCAUCAGCCAUGGCGCGGUGAAUACGUUCCCGGGCCUUGUACACACCGCCCGUCAAGCCAUGAAAGCCGGGGGUACCUGAAGUACGUAACCGCAAGGAGCGUCCUAGGGUAAAACUGGUAAUUGGGGCUAAG